GAUGAACGCUAGCGGCAGGCCUAAUACAUGCAAGUCGAACGAGAUUAAGGGGCUUGCUCCUUAUGAAAGUGGCGCACGGGUGCGUAACGCGUAUGCAACCUACCUUAAUCAGGGGGAUAGCCCGAAGAAAUUCGGAUUAACACCGCAUAAAAACACAGUACAGCAUUGUACAAUGUUCAAAUAUUUAUAGGAUUAAGAUG
RNAcentral lists this ribosomal RNA (200 nucleotides) under uncultured bacterium. RNAcentral's name for it is "partial 16S ribosomal RNA". It matches the Rfam family "Bacterial small subunit ribosomal RNA", at positions 28 to 227 of the family's 1533-position model. The record is from RNAcentral.